Long non-coding RNA from Asterias rubens (European starfish), 2916 nucleotides. RefSeq lists it as uncharacterized. The record is from RefSeq and is a predicted model, not a curated record. The transcript is spliced from 7 exons. Lineage: Eukaryota; Metazoa; Echinodermata; Asteroidea; Forcipulatida; Asteriidae.
UGACUGUUGCCAUUGACUGAUGUUACAUCAUGAAGGAGAUACUGAGCUGCCUCUCUGAGUGAACUCAACUUUCUUCACUGCUGACAUCUUGUUCAAGAAGUUAUUUGACUGUUGCCGUUGACUGAUGUUACAUCAUGAAGGAGAUACUGAGCUGCCUCUCUGCGUGAAGUCAACUUUCUUCAUUGCGGACAUCUUGUUGAAGAAGUUAUUUGCCUGUUGCCAUUGACUGAUGUUACAUCAUGAAGGAGAUACUGAGCUGCCUCUCUGAGUGAACUCAACUUUCUUCACUGAUGACAUUCUUUUCAAGAAGUUAUUUGACUGUUGCCAUUGACUGAUGUUACAUCAUGAAGGAGAUACUGAGCUGCCUCUCUGAGUGAAGUCAACUUUCUUCACUGCGGACAGCUGGUUUUCGAAAACGCCCGUUUUGAAAAGGUGUCCUUUGUGUGGAAGAGGGCGCUCCACCGUGCGGAGACCGUAUAAAAUGCCAGGUCCUUGGGCCAUUGGUUUCAUUCUUGUUCUGAUGCUGGUCGUGGAAGGUGCCUUGCCGAUGCUCUUGAUGUUCUGAGCAUGAUGAUGUCAACCUUUGGGUCCUUAGUGGUCUCAGUCCCGUACCAUUGACACCCAAGCUACACCAACAUCCGACCCUCUGCCCUGAAGGAUGUCUGCCCGAAGGAUGUCCGCCCGAAUCCAACUUCAAAACAUUGUGAUAUUGAACAAUGCUGACUUGCAAAUGUGUUGUGGUUCUGGUUCGUCAUCAACCCAAGAACUUGCUGUUGAAGAGAUGAACUGUUGCAGUCCAAGAUUUGAAAGUAAAACUUUAAACAUUUAAUGUCUAUAUAUUUGUAAAAAUUUCAUCCAACAAUGUUUGGAUUUGUAUCGAAUUUGCUAGAAAUGGCUUUUAACCUUUGCUAAGAAUGGCAAGAAACUUUGCUGAAAAUGGCGUUAAACUUUGCUAGAAAUGUUUGUUAAAACAGCACCAAACUUUGCUAGAAAGUGUGUGUUAAUUUUGAUUACAAGAAACUGUGCUAAAAACUUUGCAUAAAAUAGCGUAAACCUUUGCUAGAAAUUGCAUCAAAAUUGCGUCAAACUUGGGUAUUGCAUCAAGAUUUCCUUAAUAUUUGCAUAUAAUUUGUUUAAUAAAAUGCAUGAUCAUUUUGAUUACAAGAGACUAUGCCAAAAACUUUACUAGAAACUUUACUUUGCUGAAAAUUGUGUCAAACUCUGCUGAAAAUUGCAUAAAACUUGCUGCUAGAAAAAAAAAAAAAAAAAGGUGUUAACAUGCUGCUUAACAUGGCCAAAACCUUUGCUAAAAAUUGCUACAAACUUUGUAUAAAAUGGCGUCAAACUUUGCUGAAAUUGCAUAAAAUUUUGCUUAAUAAUGGCGUCAAACUUUGCUAGAAUUUACAAGAAACUUUGCUUCAAAUUGCAUCAAACUUGGCUUGGCUAUUGCAUCAAAAUGUGUUUGAAUUUUGUUUAAAGAUUUGUGUUAAUUUUUAAUGUAAGAAACUAUAUGCUAGAAACUGUGUCAAACUAGAAACUUUGCUGAAAAUGGUGUUAAACUUUCCCAAGAAUUUUGCUAAACAUGGCGUCAAACUCUGCUAAAAAUUUGCAUCAAAAUCUGCUCGAAAUUUUGCUUAAAAAUUGCGUCAAACUUUGCUAGAUAUUUUAUUAGACUUUGCAAGAUACUUUGCUUGAAAUGGCGUGAAACUUUGCUAAAAAUUUGCAUCAGAAUCUGCUCGAAAUUUUGCUUAAAAAUGGAGUCAAACUUUGCUAGAAAUUUCUUUAGACUUUGCAAGAUACCUCUGCUAAAAAUGGCGUCAAACUCUGCUAAAAACUUUGCUUAAAAUGGCGUCAAACUUUGCUAAAACAUGCAAGAAACUUUGCUUCAAAUUGCAUCAAACUUGGCUUGGCUAUUGCAUCAAAAUGUGUUUGAGUUUUGUUUAAAAAUUUGUGUUAAUUUUGAAUGUAAGAAACUAUAUGCUAGAAACUGUGUCCAACUGUGCUAGAAACUUUGCUGAAAAUGGUGGAAAACUUUCACAAGAUUUUUGCUGAAAAUGGCGUCAAACUUUGCUAAAAAUUUGCAUCAAAAUCUGCUCGAAAUUUUGCUUAAAAAUGGCGUCAAACUUUGCUAGAAAUUUUAUUAGACUUUGCAAGAUACUUUGCUUAAAAUGGCGUCAAACUUUGCUAAAAAUUUGCAUCAAAAUCUGCUCGAAAUUUUGCUUAAAAAUGGCGUCAAACUUUGCUAGAAAUUUUAUUAGACUUUGCAAGAUACUUUGCUUAAAAUGGCGUCAAACUUUGCUAAAAAUUUGCAUCAAAAUCUGCUCGAAAUUUUGCAUAAAAAUGGCGUCAAACUUUGCUAGAAAUUUUAUUAGACUUUGCAAGAUACUUUGCUUAAAAUGGCGUCAAACUUUGCUAGAAAUUUUAUUAGACUUUGCAAGAUACUUUGCUUAAAAUGGCGUGAAACUUUGCUACAAAAUUGCAUCAACCUCUGCUUAAAAUGUUGCUUAAAAAUGGCAUCAAACUCUGCUAAAAACUUUGCUUCAAAUGGCGUCAAACUUUGCUAAAAUUUGCAUCAAACUGUUCCAAAAUGUGUUUGAAUUUUGUUUAUAAAAUAUUUGCUUUAAUUUUGAUUGAAAAAUUCCCUUCAUGUAUUGUAAACACUUUCUUUAAUUUUGCAUUUAAAUUUUGCCUAAAUUUUGAACUUAAUUUGUAAUUACUGUCUUUAACUUGUUUCACAAUAUGUACUUUUUGAAACUACAAUAAACUUGUUACUUUUCACUCAUGUCCUAGCACUUUAUUUCACAAGUCCGACUAAUUUCCGGAGUAGUUCCGCCAAAUCAGCAAGUAACUUUUCCAAAAGUUCCUUGCUGAUUUGGUGGAACUACUUCAAAUAAUUUAAAAUAAUUUUUUAAAUAA